UUUACUUUUCUUCUUCUCUUCCCUCCACCGCUAAGAUUUUCUCCAUCCAUUUCCACCACUUUCUUUACCAUUUCUGCACCAACUUUCAGAGGAAUUUCAAAGGGAAGAAUGCUGAGAAAGGAAGAAGAAGUUCAAGAAGUUUUGUUGAAGGAAGACAAGGGAAUUGCAAGCAAAGCUUCAUCUUUGGCAGAAAUUGAUUCACACAGCACACCUCUAAUGUUCUAUUGAUUCCGAGCUACAAAAAAAGAAUUAAGAGAAAACAGGGCAGCUGGUUUUCACGCGAUUUCAGGAGGUCUCUGGUUUUUCUUGUUUUGCCGAGAGUACCGAUGGAGUUAGGAUCUCUAUUUGGCAUGGUUGGAAAGCUUAUUCAAUUUACAACUUUCAUGAAGAAAUUAUGAACCCAAAACGACAAAAAAUAAGUUAAAUUGUAUGAACAAGUUAAAGGGGUCGUGUGCGUACGAUUAUUGAAGUUGCUCUGUUUCGACUGUUAUCUGAGUGUAUUCACAGGAAAUCAGAUUUAUAUGUCUUGAGGUAAGUUUUAGAGGACCUCAAAAUGAAGAUUUUGAUAUAAAUAAAUCUCAUUUUGGUUAA
This is a long non-coding RNA of Cucumis melo (muskmelon), 591 nucleotides long. RefSeq lists it as uncharacterized. The record is from RefSeq and is a predicted model, not a curated record. The transcript has 2 exons. NCBI's taxonomy places the organism in Eukaryota, Viridiplantae, Streptophyta, Magnoliopsida, Cucurbitales, Cucurbitaceae.